This is a long non-coding RNA of Mesocricetus auratus (golden hamster), 326 nucleotides long. RefSeq lists it as uncharacterized. The record is from RefSeq and is a predicted model, not a curated record. The transcript has 3 exons. NCBI's taxonomy places the organism in Eukaryota, Metazoa, Chordata, Mammalia, Rodentia, Cricetidae.
GACUGGUGUCCGGGGCACCCGAUGCUGAGAGAAAUGGUCACCAUGAAGGCAGAGUUCACAAGGACUCAGAGGGAAAUUGGAUUUUCUUGGGAAAUGAGCUAGAAGACGGCCAUUUAAGCAGCAGCAGCAGCAUCUAGUGGUACUGGGUCUUCAAGCAUGAAAGCUCAGCAAAGACAGAAGAGGAGACUAGAGAAUGACAGCCUCUAGGUUCCAGAAACAGACAGUCAGUACCAGGUCUGCGCUACUUCUAAGGACCAUCAUUCUACCAGGGGCCUCCUCCCAGCUUGUGUGGGCACCUCUGGGAAUGACUCGACCAUCAGGCAACA